ACAGAAGCUGUGUUUCCCUCGUUUAGCAAGAAACAGCCUCAAGAGCGGCUGAUUGAUUAGGAGUCCCUCCCCCAACCCUUUUUAUUCCGACCCCCUCCCCUGCUCAGAUCACCAGGACAGAGAUCCCCCGGGGAUAAGGCAGUGGAGGAAAGCACAUCUCAUUAUACGGCAAAUGGCCGGCCUGCCGUACGUACACAAGGAGAUAUUAAACUUGCUCCUCUGUCCUCCAGCAGCUACUGUACCAGCAGUAACCCCUUCCUGGGCUGCCAUUACCGGUGCACGCGGCGACUGUUACCCCGGGGCGAGUCGUUCUAACCGGUUACACGUGGCAAGAGCCCAGAACAGGCGUGGGCGCUACAAUAGGGAUGCAAAUGGAAAGAAACCCAGGUUAUCUCAGGAGAGAUGCAUUGAUAACUAUUGUAUUGUUUUCCAACACAAAAGCUUGAAUACAUUUCCCUUAUUUUAAAGUUCCCCGUAAGUGAAAGGUAAACAAGAUCCUGGAACAAUAUUAUUUAAGUUAUAGUGGGUGAGAGGUGGGGUGUAUUUAUUGGGUUAUUGAUAUAUCGGUGCCCGUCAUCCCGGCGGUCAGCAGUAUGGGGCGAACGUAACGUAGCAGCAGGGCAAACGUAAAAAAGAGCCCCUUGCGGGCAUGCUAUGAUCGCCACACUGCAGGCACGGUCGCGUGCUACGCUAUUUAUUCUCCUUUCAGGGGUGUUGUGGACACCACAAGAGGGAACAUAGGUGUCGGUAUCCUGAUGCCAGUAUGCUGAGUGCUGGGAUCCUGACAGUCGGGAUAUUGAACGCAUCCUGUAUUUAUUGCCUGCUUUCCCCAAGGACACAACCCUUAUUUCUCCCUGGCAAGUGUAACACAACUUUCCUAAAACACAAAUGUGACACAUAAUAUAGUCCUUAGGACUCAUCUCUCAUGAUUAAAACCAGUGUAAAGGGCCCCAUACACUAGAAUUAUAAUUCCCUAUUUCAUCCGAAUUCGGGCUGAUA
This is a long non-coding RNA of Pseudophryne corroboree (corroboree frog), 999 nucleotides long. RefSeq lists it as uncharacterized. The record is from RefSeq and is a predicted model, not a curated record. NCBI's taxonomy places the organism in Eukaryota, Metazoa, Chordata, Amphibia, Anura, Myobatrachidae. The transcript is spliced from 2 exons.